CUUAUCAAGAAUCCUGCCUUUCCUGUUGCAGAGCAGAAAUAAACAAAAUCAAGAAAUCUCCGAUGCUCACACCAUUUUAACAGGUUUGGCCAAUACAACAGAGAAAUGAAAACCAACAAGCCAACAGAUGUCCCCCACCAAUCCAGGAAUGAGUGAAUUCUUGCUCUGUUAGGUCCUAUGAGAGUUCCCUCAAGAGCUGGUUGUUAAAAAGAGCCUAGGACCUCUUCCCUCUCUUGCUUCCUCUCUUGCCUUGUGAUCUUCACAUCCUGACUCUCCUUCACCUUCCACUGUGAGUGGAAAUUUCCUGAGGCUCUCACAAGAAGCAGAUGUCGGCACCAUGCUUCUUUUACAGUCUUCAGAGUCCUGAGAACAAAGUCUAAAUCCUAGGAUUGCUUGACAUUCUGUUACUGACAGUCUGCAGUCUCAAGACUUUCAGGAUAAUAGUUCCAAAGGAAUGUUAUCUAUACGUUUUUUCUGAGUAAACACUUCCAUUUCAAGCAAAA
RNAcentral lists this long non-coding RNA (503 nucleotides) under Pongo abelii (Sumatran orangutan). RNAcentral's name for it is "lincRNA". The record is from RNAcentral. Lineage: Eukaryota; Metazoa; Chordata; Mammalia; Primates; Hominidae.